AUUGAACGCUGGCGGCAUGCCUUACACAUGCAAGUCGAACGGCAGCACGGGUGCUUGCACCUGGUGGCGAGUGGCGAACGGGUGAGUAAUACAUCGGAACGUACCUUAUCGUGGGGGAUAACGCAGCGAAAGCUGUGCUAAUACCGCAUACGCCCUGAGGGGGAAAGCGGGGGAUCGAAAGACCUCGCGCGAUUAGAGCGGCCGAUGCCUGAUUAGCUUGUUGGUGGGGUAAAAGCCCACCAAGGCGACGAUAAGUAGCUGGUCUGAGAGGACGAUCAGCCACACUGGGACUGAGACACGGCCCAGACUCCUACGGGAGGCAGCAGUGGGGAAUUUUGGACAAUGGGGGCAACCCUGAUCCAGCAAUGCCGCGUGAGUGAAGAAGGCCUUCGGGUUGUAAAGCUCUUUGUCAGGGAAGAAACACCGGCUCUAACACAGUCCGGGAAUGACGGUACCUGAAGAAUAAGCACCGGCUAACUACGUGCCAGCCGCCGCGGUAA
This 500-nucleotide ribosomal RNA is filed under the name uncultured bacterium. Its description in RNAcentral is "partial 16S ribosomal RNA". It matches the Rfam family "Bacterial small subunit ribosomal RNA", at positions 29 to 523 of the family's 1533-position model. The record is from RNAcentral.